Non-coding RNA from Gammaproteobacteria bacterium MFB021, 280 nucleotides. The record is from Rfam. NCBI's taxonomy places the organism in Bacteria, Pseudomonadati, Pseudomonadota, Gammaproteobacteria.
UCCACCUGCUGCGGGCAGAUGAAGUGGAUAUGCGCAUCGAUCGCGCCGGCGGUGAGGAUCUUGCCCUCACCGGCGAUCACCUCGGUGCCUGGGCCGAUCACGAUGGUCACCGCCGGCUGCACGUCGGGGUUGCCGGCCUUGCCGAUGGCGGCGAUGCGCCCUGCCUUGAGGCCGACAUCGGCCUUGACGAUCCCCCACCAGUCGAGGAUCAGCGCAUUGGUGAUCACGGUGUCCAUCACCGCCUCGUCGCAGCGCUGGCUCUGGCCCAUGCCGUCACGGA